AGAGGAAGGGAGCAAGGGCGAUGGGGCUGGCCUGGCUCUGGUGCUCGCGGCGUCACACGGGCCUCCGGUGGAGGCGGGGUGUCGGGCGCAGGCAGAUGCCCCGAUCCGCUCCGGAUCGAGCGCUCGUGCAGCAGGGUUGGAUCGGCAGCGGAGAUACCGAGGUUGGGGAUUGCGGCGGCACGACUUGGGAUUGGGGGAUAGG
Molecule: long non-coding RNA, 202 nt
Filed under: Hordeum vulgare
Lineage: Eukaryota; Viridiplantae; Streptophyta; Magnoliopsida; Poales; Poaceae
Description: long non-coding RNA (HVUL_LNC010417)
Source: RNAcentral